CAGCAGUGGGGAAUCUUCCGCAAUGGACGAAAGUCUGACGGAGCAACGCCGCGUGAGUGAUGACGGCCUUCGGGUUGUAAAGCUCUGUUAAUCGGGACGAAAGGUCUUCUUGCGAAUAGUUAGAAGAAUUGACGGUACCGGAAUAGAAAGCCACGGCUAACUACGUGCCAGCAGCCGCGGUAAUACGUAGGUGGCAAGCGUUGUCCGGAAUUAUUGGGCGUAAAGCGCGCGCAGGCGGAUCAGUCAGUCUGUCUUAAAAGUUCGGGGCUUAACCCCGUGAUGGGAUGGAAACUGCUGAUCUAGAGUAUCGGAGAGGAAAGUGGAAUUCCUAGUGUAGCGGUGAAAUGCGUAGAUAUUAGGAAGAACACCAGUGGCGAAGGCGACUUUCUGGACGAAAACUGACGCUGAGGCGCGAAAGCCAGGGGAGCGAACGGGAUUAGA
RNAcentral lists this ribosomal RNA (441 nucleotides) under uncultured Veillonella sp. Its description in RNAcentral is "bacterial SSU rRNA". It matches the Rfam family "Bacterial small subunit ribosomal RNA", at positions 349 to 782 of the family's 1533-position model. The record is from RNAcentral. Lineage: Bacteria; Bacillati; Bacillota; Negativicutes; Veillonellales; Veillonellaceae.